RNAcentral lists this ribosomal RNA (262 nucleotides) under uncultured bacterium. Its description in RNAcentral is "partial 16S ribosomal RNA". It matches the Rfam family "Bacterial small subunit ribosomal RNA", at positions 793 to 1055 of the family's 1533-position model. The record is from RNAcentral.
GUCCACGCCGUAAACGUUGGGCGCUAGGUGUGGGGAACUUUCCACGUUCUCCGUGCCGCAGCUAACGCAUUAAGCGCCCCGCCUGGGGAGUACGGCCGCAAGGCUAAAACUCAAAGGAAUUGACGGGGGCCCGCACAAGCGGCGGAGCAUGUGGCUUAAUUCGACGCAACGCGAAGAACCUUACCAAGGCUUGACAUAUACCGAAAACUGGCAGAGAUGUCAGGUCCGCAAGGGCGGUAUACAGGUGGUGCAUGGUUGUCGU